This is a long non-coding RNA of Sinocyclocheilus rhinocerous, 463 nucleotides long. RefSeq lists it as uncharacterized. Lineage: Eukaryota; Metazoa; Chordata; Actinopteri; Cypriniformes; Cyprinidae. The record is from RefSeq and is a predicted model, not a curated record. The transcript has 3 exons.
GUGCAGUACUAUGUUUCAGUUAUAGCACUGCAUGCUCUCAUUUAAAUCUGAAAUAGAAAUAUACUCUGUACAGGAAAAAAGUGUUCCACAUAAACCGCCUAAUCAACAUUUAUUGUUUAGUAGUGUGAAACUGUUGCAGUCCAUGUAAAUACAUCUUUGAUCAAUUAUUUCAUGAUUGUCCCCUUUUCAGAGUAAAGCUCCUGACCGGCCAGAAGAAUAAGCAGCUGGAGGAUCUUGCUCUUUGUAGAGAGGAGAGAAAAAGCCUGAGAGAGGCUGCGGAGCGCCUGGCUGAUAAAUAUGAAGAUGCCAAGUACCGUCAAGAAGCCAUUAUUAACAGAGUAAAACAGGUUUUGGGAAGUCUGCGGAGUCAACUUCCUGUGCUGUCAGACAGUGAGAAGGACAUGAGGAAGGAACUGCAAACCAUCCAUGAUCAGCUCCGUCACCUUGACAACGGCAUUAAACA